AGUAGAUGGUGGCCUUGCACAGGAAUCUGAGUCCACAGAGGGUGAACAAGUAGAUGGUGGCCUUGCACAGGAAUCUGAGUCCACAGAGGGUGAACAAGUAGAUGGUGGCCUUGCACAGGAAUCUGAGUCCACAGAGGGUGAACAAGUAGAUGGUGGCCUUGAACAGGCAUCUGAGUCCACAGAGGGUGAACAAGGUAGGAAGAUACUGUAUUUAUGGUCCGCAUAGUUUUGGCCAUGAAAUGAGUUGACAAUAAAAUAAAAACAAUAUUUUUUCACUUCUACAGUAUUAUUCGAA
Molecule: long non-coding RNA, 295 nt
Organism: Carassius gibelio (silver crucian carp)
Lineage: Eukaryota; Metazoa; Chordata; Actinopteri; Cypriniformes; Cyprinidae
Exons: 4
Source: RefSeq, a predicted model, not a curated record